This 499-nucleotide ribosomal RNA is filed under the name uncultured bacterium. Its description in RNAcentral is "partial 16S ribosomal RNA". It matches the Rfam family "Bacterial small subunit ribosomal RNA", at positions 28 to 507 of the family's 1533-position model. The record is from RNAcentral.
GACGAACGCUGGCGGCGUGCCUAAUACAUGCAAGUCGAGCGAAGUUUUUCUGGUGCUUGCACUAGAAAAACUUAGCGGCGAACGGGUGAGUAACACGUAAAGAACCUGCCUCAUAGACUGGGACAACUAUUGGAAACGAUAGCUAAUACCGGAUAACAGUAUUUCUCGCAUGAGAGAUAUUUAAAAGUUGGUUAUGCUAACACUAUGAGAUGGCUUUGCGGUGCAUUAGCUAGUUGGUGGGGUAAAGGCCCACCAAGGCGACGAUGCAUAGCCGACCUGAGAGGGUGAUCGGCCACACUGGGACUGAGACACGGCCCAGACUCCUACGGGAGGCAGCAGUAGGGAAUCUUCCGCAAUGGGCGAAAGCCUGACGGAGCAACGCCGCGUGAGUGAAGAAGGAUUUCGGUUCGUAAAGCUCUGUUGUUAGGGAAGAAUGGAUAUGUAGUAACGACACAUGUAAGAGACGGUACCUAACCAGAAAGCCACGGCUAACUACGUG